RNAcentral lists this ribosomal RNA (127 nucleotides) under Danio rerio (zebrafish). The record is from RNAcentral. Lineage: Eukaryota; Metazoa; Chordata; Actinopteri; Cypriniformes; Danionidae.
UUCAAUUCUAAAACGCCGUUUUAAAACUAAAACGCACUAGUGUAAACGGGGCCUAAAGCUAAGCAGGGCUGAGCCUGUUCAGUACCUGGAUGGGAGACCACAUGGGAAAACUAGAUUUCUGUUGAAA